UGGUAGUGUAUUGGACUACCAUGGCUCUCACGGGUAACGGGGAAUUAGGGUUCGAUUCCGGAGAAGGAGCCUGAGAAACGGCUACUACAUCUAAGGAAGGCAGCAGGCGCGUAAAUUACCCAAUCCUGACUCAGGGAGGUAGUGACAAGAUAUAACGACGCGACCAAAAUCGCGAUUGUAGUGAGGGUAUUCCAAACCGAACCACUAGUACGAUUGGAGGGCAAGUCUGGUGCCAGCAGCCGCGGUAAUUCCAGCUCCAAUAGCGUAUAUUAAAGUUGUUGCAGUUAAAAAGCUCGUAGUUGGAUUUCAAGGAAUGCAUUGCGCAAGCUCUGCAUCCUACCAGUCUUUGACUGUUACUGUGAGAAAAUUAGAGUGUUUCAAGCAGGCUGUUGCAGGAAUACAUUAGCAUGGAAUAACGAAUGUGUCUAGAAUCUUGGUUAAUUCUAGAUUACGAUUAAUAGGGACAGUUGGGGGCAUUAGUAUUUAAUUGUCAGAGGUGAAAUUCUUGGAUUUGUUAAAGACUAACGUAUGCGAAAGCAUUUGCCAAGGAUGUUUUCAUUAAUCAAGAACGAAAGAUAGGGGAUCAAAGACAAUCAGA
RNAcentral lists this ribosomal RNA (598 nucleotides) under uncultured ciliate. Its description in RNAcentral is "SSU rRNA". It matches the Rfam family "Eukaryotic small subunit ribosomal RNA", at positions 326 to 1012 of the family's 1831-position model. Lineage: Eukaryota; Ciliophora. The record is from RNAcentral.